GCGGGUUUAGCUCAGUUGGGAGAGCGUCAGACUGAAGCCAAACUUCAAUUCCUUAAUCUGAAGGUCAUGUGUUCGAUCCACAUAAACCGCA
This 91-nucleotide transfer RNA is filed under the name Bombardia bombarda. It matches the Rfam family "tRNA". From Rfam's summary of the family: Transfer RNA (tRNA) molecules are approximately 80 nucleotides in length. Their secondary structure includes four short double-helical elements and three loops (D, anti-codon, and T loops). Further hydrogen bonds mediate the characteristic L-shaped molecular structure. tRNAs have two regions of fundamental functional importance: the anti-codon, which is responsible for specific mRNA codon recognition, and the 3' end, to which the tRNAs corresponding amino acid is attached (by aminoacyl-tRNA synthetases). tRNAs cope with the degeneracy of the genetic code in two manners: having more than one tRNA (with a specific anti-codon) for a particular amino acid; and 'wobble' base-pairing, i.e. permitting non-standard base-pairing at the 3rd anti-codon position. Lineage: Eukaryota; Fungi; Ascomycota; Sordariomycetes; Sordariales; Lasiosphaeriaceae. The record is from Rfam by way of RNAcentral.